RNAcentral lists this ribosomal RNA (271 nucleotides) under uncultured archaeon. Its description in RNAcentral is "partial 16S ribosomal RNA". It matches the Rfam family "Archaeal small subunit ribosomal RNA", at positions 477 to 747 of the family's 1478-position model. The record is from RNAcentral.
CGGCGGCCCAAGUGGUGGCCGCUAUUAUUGGGCCUAAAGCGUCCGUAGCCGGGCCCGUAAGUCCCUGGCGAAAUCCCACGGCGCAACCGUGGGGCUUGCUGGGGAUACUGCGGGCCUUGGGACCGGGAGAGGCCGGGGGUACCCCUGGGGUAGGGGUGAAAUCCUAUAAUCCCAGGGGGACCGCCAGUGGCGAAGGCGCCCGGCUGGAACGGGUCCGACGGUGAGGGACGAAGGCCAGGGGAGCGAACCGGAUUAGAUACCCGAGUAGUCC